CGAACUUCCGGACCAAGAAGGCGGAGUAGAAACAGAUCACCACUGAGGUACUUUUGCAAUUAGUAGCUAAGAGAAGCUAGUCUUUGAACAGCAUUAUUCUAUUUAUUCUAUACUAUUCCCUCCGUCCGGAAAUACUUGUCGGAGGAAUGGAUGUAUCUAGAAUUCUAGAUGCAUUUUAGUUUUAGAUGCAUCCAUUUAUACCCAUUUCCGCGACAAGUAUUUCCGGACGGAGGGAGUAGAUACGUUCAUUUGACCUUUGAUGGCAUUUACAUUUCUCCCAGUUCCCAUGUCGUCCUGUAUCUGAUCCUGAGUGUUGUCUUUUACAUUUCCUGUAGAUGUUCUGUUAUUCAAUGUUGAUCAUGAACAUUAUGCAUGAGUCCAUGUCCAUGGCGUGCUGUAGUUAUUUUUACCACAAUCCUGUCAGAUUAUAUCUUCGUUGUGGAACCAGUGGCAUGCGCUUAGGUUGCUUUUGUCAGUUUGUGGCGUAGAUAAUGCAACUUGGGCAGAGUGUCUUAUAUAUGAUGUCAUUUCUAUCCUUCAGUAUUUAGACUAGAGGCUGUCAACGUUACAGGUGAUGCAUGCCAUGUUUUUAUUAUCACCAGGCUUGCUGUUUUCUUGAUCAGGAUGGUCUUUGUUCUGCAGCUGCCAUCUCUUUGUUUCUAAUAUAUAUACUAGUCCCUCCGUUCCUAAAUAUUUGUCUUUUUUUUAGAGAUUUCAAAUGGACUAGCACAUACGGAUGUAUAUAGACAUAUUUUAGAGUGUAGAUUCACUCAUUUUGCUUGGUAUGUAGUCACUUGUUGAAAUCUCUAUAAAGACAAAUAUUUAGGAACGGAGGGAGUAGUAUUCUGGUUCUGAUAAAAAAUAAAUUCAUGAACCAUAUUUUCGUUUGAAAUUAGAAAAGCACAACCGUUUUAAUGUUCUUUGCCCGCAGAAACAUAUUUAUCAAGCACAUGUUCACAAAGUAACUAGCCACAAACCUGAUUGUUAUCCUAGCAUGAGUUAGAAUUAUCAUAGAAGCAAAUUGGCAUAACCUUUCAUGUCUUUGUAGGUCAUUAUUUAGCAUCAAACAUUUUGACCCUACUUCUAGGUCUCGAGAUGGGUUGUAUACACCUUUUACCCAUUUAUCUUGCUAACCAUAUUGCCUGCUGUGCUGUUUGCAGGCCACACAAGAAGAAGAUUGGUCGAUUGCCUUUUGAAGACCCCGGGGCUCGCUUGCUGCUGACUUUCUGGAUGGUGGAGACGAGGCUUCGUCGUCAAGACCCAGCUGGUUUGUUGCCAGGAGCGAGUCGAGUCCCUGAAGUCGCUGAUGAUCGAGGCAGCUAUUGAGAGAGAGAGGGAGAGAAAGAUAGAUGCUUAGAUCAAAAUUUUGAGUUAUGGAAAAUUACCUGGCUACCUACCUUAUGAUUUAUCGCGAUGAUGUUCCCCCUGCAUACAGUAUACUUCUAGCUGAUGCCUGCUAUAUUGGUUAUGAAUUUACUAUGCUGACGUUAUUCUUGUUACGCUAGUCGUCGUCGUCGUUAAGAUAUCUGGUGAUAUACAGAUUGUGCAAGUUGAGUAUCGGUUUCGCUAUCUUGUUUCUCUUGAUGCCUUUGCUGCUUCAGCUCAUCAACUUGGUCUUGUGUGCCCCCUACCUAGACAGAUAGUUUUGCUCUUGUCUGCUGCACCGUGCGUGCAGUCAAGUUUCAGGUUCAGUUGAGUUCAGCUCAGGAGCCAACCAAGUCUCGGUCUCCUUGUUCCCAUCAACAGAGUUAUGUGGCAUUGUUCUUGCUGCACAUGGCGGUGACCAUACCCUGGAGGGGAUCCUGAGGACGACCGGCUGGCCGUACCCGAACUGCUCUGCGGCCAUCUCCAGGACUGCCGCCUCCUUGAGCGCCCUGAUGCGCACCACCACCCUCCCCAUCCUCGCCCACGGGCGGCAGCUGGAGGUACCCCUUGGGGACCUUACCUCUGUCGCCUCCGGCGCCGAUAAAGAGGUAUGCUUCCACCGUCUCAUCCUUCCUUCUCCAGGCGGCCAUUGCUGCUCUUCUCUGCUUCCAAAGGAAAAUCAUCCAAAAUGACAAGGAGAGUGAGUUUGGAAAAGGGGUAUGUCACAAGGCGUGGAUGCUGACUGCGUCCGUGGACGAUGGGCUCUGAUGUCCCCACAUUUUGGGAUUUGUCAAUACGUCCACAAAUGGCCUCUAUCAAGAAAAAUAGAGGCACAUUAGUUGCGAUCAACCACAAAAAAUCAUAUUAAGACAUUCCGAAAAUUCUGAAAUUAUUUGACAACAUACCUCUACAACUCUGAAAACAUUCAGCUCAAAACUCAAUGUACAUUUAGGGAUUCAGAAAAGACAAGUUCGAAUGUGAAUAGUGGCAUCUUACCGUGAAUAGUAUUUUGACAUUAUUCACGUCCAAUUAUAUAUUUUUUGUUUCUAUUAGUGUAGGUUGAAUUAGGAGCUGAAACUUUUUGAGGUUGUGCAUCAAACAUUGAUUUGUGCAUAUAAUUUUUUUGAGAAUGUUUGAACAUAUUUUGGAUUUUCAAAAAAUAAAUAAAUUGUCUUACAUAAUGUGAGAUUCUAUAAUACUCUCCCGGGGUUAAUUUGCGGGGUCCGUACGGUUUUGUACCGCACUAACGGCUAACGUGCGCCUUGUCGCGCCGUUUUUCGCAUACGAGUUUUUUCUUGGUUGUAUAAUGGAUUUUCGUUUACCUGGGCUUAUUGGGCUCUGUGUGCUCAGGAUGUAAUUGACCAUAUGAUUCUGCAGGAAUUACAUAUACAAUUUUUAUAUAUCGCCUGUAGCAAGCGAUACGGGCCAAUCGCCCAUAGAUACUGCCAUCCCGGUUUUUAUGCAGAGGGAAUUUUCCAGCCAAGUUUUUUUUUCAGAAACCCGGGUUCUUUCUUAUACAAGAACAUAUUUUAAAUACACUUUGAACUUUUUUCAAAUACACAUUGAUUUUUCUUAACAUAUGUUGAAAAAAUUCAAAUACAUGCUGAACAUUUUUCCUUACUCUUCUAAUUUUCAAAAUUUUGUUAACAUUUUUCAAUCCAUAAAUAUUUUUAAGUUUCACAAUUGUUAAAAUGACAUGAAUAUUUUAACAUAUGUUGAAAAGAAAUUAAUGCAUGUUGAAUAUUUUUUUACUCGUCUAAUUUUUAAAAAUUCAUGAACAUUUGUAAAUCCAUAAACAUUUUUAAGUUUCACAAUUUUUAAAAUUUCAUGAACUUUUUAUAAAAUUGUAAUCAUUCUAUAGAAGUCAUGAACAUCUUUCGGAAUUCAUCUUUUUGACUUUGUGGUUUUUUUAAACAUUAAUAAAAGUUACAAACAUGGAUUCGUGGUGUGAGCAACAAGUGACAAUUUGAAAGAAUGACGUCCGUGCAAAAGUUUUGACAUUUAAAGCGUGCAACAUCCAAAGUGAGUUUCUGUUGAGUCAUUAUAGACACUGCUUAAAGUACUACUCCACUAUGUCAUAUAUUUGGUGUCCUGUCUACAAUGUUUUGAGGACAACUGCUCCCUAUGUCAUAUAUUUGUUUCUUCAUCUGACAUUGUUUUUUAUCAAUAAAAUGUGUGAUUACUCUAGUACUUCCAAGUGCACAUAAACAUAAAAAAAGUCAUACAACAUGUGUGUGAUUGUUUCGAAGCUCAAUCAGGUACACAUUUGAAUCACACAAAAUAAAUAUUGUUGACAUCUCAUACAUUCUACAAUCUCUACUGAGCUGCACCUAACCUUGACAUUUUUUUACUCUGGAAACUUCCACCAAGCCCCCCACCCCAAUUAUACACUUCAAAACACUCUACCAAAUCUUGAUAGUAUUUAAAAAUACUAUCAACAAGGGCACACAUAAAUACACCAUAAUGCAAUAAGAAACAUAAAUCAGAUACACUACAUACACAGGCUUAGCUUGCUAUUGUUGAGUUGUGUUAUUUUGUGCAUAUUUUAUAAUUUUCUACAGAAAGUUAGCCACAAAAAGGUUAAUUUUUUUCAAAAAAAUAGACAAAAUAUAGUUAUGCAAGUACGAUUACCGUAGUCUACCGAACGGCAAACUCACACUAAGAAUAUAAAACUAUUUUAGAAAAUAAUGUAAUAUUUUUGCUUGCUUAAAUUUUGGUGAAAUCUAAUAUACAAUAAUAAAUAUAAGCACAUAAUUUAAUAAAAAUAUGACAAAAUAUAGUGAAAUGUAGCACACCAAAAUGUAUUUGUAGUGAUAAAUAUUUAAAUUAUAUUAAAUUAUAUAACAUAAAUGUACCUUAUAUACAACAUGUGGUUAAAAUUGUUAAUUUUGUUAGAUAUACUUGAUAAACAAAAUUUAAAAUAAUACAUAGAAGAGUGUAUCAGUAAGAAUGACACACACACACACACAUAAUGAUGAGAUGAGUUAUGGUUAAGUAAAGGAAUUUAGUAUAAAUAAGUUAAAUAUUGAAAAAAAGGGUAAACACCCCCUGAACUAUCACAUUUGGAGCAAACAGAGGAUUAGACAAACAGAGGAUUAGGCAAAUCAUCAGCGAGCAAGGUGGGGCAGCAACCCCAGGUAACCAAUGUGGGUAGGGUUCCAUACCGUCAUCGCCGUCGAGGUUGUCGUCGUCGUCGACACCGGCCGUCGUCGACGAACUGGAGGACGCCGGAGUGGCAGCGGCACCGCUUGUCGGCGGGGGAGGGGCCAGCGAUGGAGCACCGGUCGUCGUCAGAGGCCAUGAUGUUGGUUGGGGCAGGGGAGGAGGAACGGCAAAGCUGAUGGUGAUGUAAUGAGUAGUGUAUCCAAGGUUAUAUUCCCGUCUGAACCUGACCCUCCUCUGAGCUCAGAGCCUCUCGGCCAUCCUAUCUCGUGCUUGAGGCGUUCUGGACCGUCGGAUUGUCCUCCUGAUUGUUCUCGGUCGUUGGAUAAAAUGGAUGGUUGGAGCAAUGAGCAGUGAAAUUUUUCUCUCACCGCGUGAUAUUAGGCGUGUCUCCCUCUUGUCUUCUCAAUUGCAUCAACCUUGGCCUUUUCCACCUCAAUGCUUCUUUUAGAAAUUUAUGGCCCAAAACAAUACCUUUGUUAACCAUAAAGUGGCACUUCUGACAAUUCAAGACAAGAUUUAUUUGUUCACAUCUCUGCAAAACUCGAUCAAGAUUGCUCAAACAAUCAUCAAAAGACUUACCAUAAACAGAAAAGUCAUCCAUGAAAACCUCAACAAUCUUUUCAUAAAAAUCAGAGAAUAUAGCAGUCAUACAUCUUUGAAAGGUAGCAGGUGCAUUACAUAGACCAAAAGGCAUACGUCCAUAAGCAUAAGUUCCAAAAGGACAAGUAAAAGUGGUCUUUUCUUGAUCAGGUUGAGAAACAUGUAUUUGUAAAAAACCAGAAUAUCCAUCAAGGAAGCAAAAAUGUGUGUGCUUAGAUAAUCUUUCUAACAUUUGAUCAACAAAAGGCAGAGGGUAAUGAUCUUUUCUAGUUGCUUUAUUUAUUUUUCUAAAAUCAAUUACCAUUCUAUAGCCUGUGAAAAUUCUUUGUGGAAUGAGUUCAUUCUUAUCAUUAGGAACAACAGUUAUACUUCCCUUCUUAGGGACACAAUGAACAAGAAUUACCCAUCUACUAUUAGCUAUGGCAUAGAUUAUACCUACUUCCAGAAGUUUCAAUAUUUCCAUCCUUACCACUUCUUUCAUUUUCAGAUUUAACCGACGUUGGUAAUCAACAACGGGUUUAGCAUCAGGUUCCAUAUUAAUCUUGUGCUGACAUAGAGUGGGACUAAUGCCCUUAAGAUCAUCAAGAGUAUAUCCAAUAGUAGCUCGGUGCUUCCUUAGAACUUUCAAUAAUCUUUCUUCUUCAUGUUCUGAAAGGUUAGCACCAAUAAUAACAUGAUAUAUCUUUUUCUCAUCAAGAUAAACAUAUUUCAAAGUGUUUGCCAAUUGUUUUAAUUUAAACAAAGGAUCACCUUUAGGUGGAGGAGGACCUCCUAGAGUUUCAAUAGGCAGAUUAUGUUUAAGCAGAGGUUGUUGUCGAACAAGAUUCUAUCAAUUUCAUUUCUUUCACGCAUAUGCAAAUCAUUUUCAUGGUCUAGCAAAUAUUGUUCUAAAGGAUCAGUAGGAGGUACAACAAUAGCAGCAAGACCAAUAAUUUCAUCCUUACUAGGCAAAUCUUUCUUAUGAGGUUUUCUACUAAACUUGGAAAAAUUAAAUUCAUGAGAUUCAUCACCAAAGCUAACACCGACAAUUUAUUUCUCACAAUCUAUUCUAGCAUUAACAGUGUUCAAGAGAGGUCUAUCAAAGAUAAUGGGACAAAAGUCAUCUUGUGGGGAAUCAAGAACAAGAAAAUCAGUAGGGUAUUUUAUUUUUCCACACAAGACUUCAAAAUCUUGUUUGCUGGUGACUUUCUGGAUGGUGGAGACCCAGCUGGUUUGUUGCCAGGAGCGAGUCGAGUCCCUGAAGUCGCUGAUGAUCGAGGCAGCUAUUGGGAGAGGGAGAGAGAAAGAUAGAAGCUUAGAUCAAAAUUUUGAGUUAUGGAAAAUUGCCUACCUACCUACCUUAUGAUUUAUCGCGAUGAUGUUCCCCUGCAUAUAGUAUACUUCUAGCUGAUGCCUGCUAUACUGGUUAUGAAUUUACUAUGCUGACGUUAUUCUUGUUACGCUAGUCGUCGUCUUUAAGAUAUCUGGUGAUAUACAGAUUGUGCAAGUUGAGU
This 6623-nucleotide long non-coding RNA is filed under the name Triticum aestivum (bread wheat). RNAcentral's name for it is "long non-coding RNA (TAES_LNC011456)". The stretch from base 110 to 242 matches the Rfam family "MIR1120/MIR1122 microRNA precursor family". Lineage: Eukaryota; Viridiplantae; Streptophyta; Magnoliopsida; Poales; Poaceae. The record is from RNAcentral.